UGGGGAAUAUUGCACAAUGGAGGGAACUCUGAUGCAGCGACGCCGCGUGAGUGAUGAAGGAAUUCGUUUCGUAAAACUCUGUUCUAUGGGAAGAAAAGGACUGUACCAUAGGAUAAAGCUCCGGCUAAAUACGUGCCAGCAGCCGCGGUAAUACGUAUGGAGCGAGCGUUGUCCGGAAUUAUUGGGCGUAAAGGGUGCGCAGGCGGAUUUACAAGUUGGAUGUGAAAUAUUGUGGCUCAACCACAAACGUGCAUCCAAAACUGCAAAGCUUGAGUUAAGGAGAGGUAAGUGGAAUUCCUGGUGUAGCGGUGGAAUGCGUAGAUAUCAGGAGGAAUACCGGUGGCGAAGGCGACUUACUGGACUUAAGCUGACGCUCAGGCACGAAAGCGUGGGGAGCAAACAGG
Molecule: ribosomal RNA, 404 nt
Filed under: Fusobacteriota bacterium
Lineage: Bacteria; Fusobacteriati; Fusobacteriota
Description: Fusobacteria bacterium partial 16S ribosomal RNA
Rfam family: Bacterial small subunit ribosomal RNA
Source: RNAcentral